ACCGCGGCAUGCUGAUCCGCGAUUACUGGCGAUUCCAACUUCAUGCACUCGAGUUGCAGAGUGCAAUCCGAACUGAGACGGCUUUUUGGGAUUGGCUAGGGGUCGCCCCAUCGCCGCCCAUUGUCACCGCCAUUGUAGCACGUGUGUAGCCCAGCCCGUAAGGGCCAUGAGGACUUGACGUCAUCCCCGCCUUCCUCCGGCUUGUCACCGGCAGUUUCUCCAGAGUGCCCGGCUUGACCCGAUGGCAACUGAAGAUGAGGGUUGCGCUCGUUGCGGGACUUAACCCAACAUCUCACGACACGAGCUGACGACAGCCAUGCAGCACCUGUGUGAACGCCGGCUUAACCCGAAGGACCCGAUCUCUCGGGCCCAUACGUUCCAUGUCAAGGGCUG
RNAcentral lists this ribosomal RNA (393 nucleotides) under uncultured bacterium. RNAcentral's name for it is "partial 16S ribosomal RNA". The record is from RNAcentral.